UUCAGUCGAAUCUGCCCGGUGAAAUUUUAACGGCCGCAGUAUCUUAACUGUGCUAAGGUAGCGUAAUCAUUAGCUUUUUAAUUGAAAGCUCGUAUGAACGAUCCGACGAAAAAUUACCUGUCUUAAGCCCGCUAAAAACUUUUUACGAGAGUCAAAAACCUCUCACUCUUCAAUAGGACGACAAGACCCUGCAAAACUUUACCCGUUAUAGUUCGAACUCAGAGAUCUUUACCCCUUACUCGGGUUUUACUGGGGCGGUAAUAGUUUCUCCAAACAAUUAACACUCAAACAUAGUACAUGGCCUUUACGAACUUUUUAAACUAAGACCAAGUUACUUCAGGGAUAACAGCGCAAUGAACCCUUAGAGUCCUUAUCGACGGGUUAGCUUACGACCUCGAUGUUGAAUUGAAUUUCCUCCUUCAGAGCAAAAACUAAGAAAGGAAGUCUGUUCGACU
This 455-nucleotide ribosomal RNA is filed under the name Paradella sp. RW99.065.411. Its description in RNAcentral is "partial 16S ribosomal RNA". It matches the Rfam family "Bacterial large subunit ribosomal RNA", at positions 1848 to 2586 of the family's 2925-position model. Lineage: Eukaryota; Metazoa; Arthropoda; Malacostraca; Isopoda; Sphaeromatidae. The record is from RNAcentral.